UACGUAGGGGGCAAGCGUUGUCCGGAAUCAUUGGGCGUAAAGCGCGUGUAGGCGGCUCGAUCAGUCCGCUCUGAAAGCCCGGGGCUCAACCCCGGGAGGCGGGCGGAUACUGUCGAGCUAGAGUCCGGAAGGGGCGAGUGGAAUUCCUGGUGUAGCGGUGAAAUGCGCAGAUAUCAGGAGGAACACCAAUGGCGAAGGCAGCUCGCUGGGACGGUACUGACGCUGAGACGCGAAAGCGUGGGGAGCAAACAGG
This 253-nucleotide ribosomal RNA is filed under the name uncultured bacterium. Its description in RNAcentral is "partial 16S ribosomal RNA". It matches the Rfam family "Bacterial small subunit ribosomal RNA", at positions 524 to 776 of the family's 1533-position model. The record is from RNAcentral.